Molecule: ribosomal RNA, 652 nt
Filed under: uncultured archaeon
Lineage: Archaea
Description: bacterial SSU rRNA
Rfam family: Archaeal small subunit ribosomal RNA
Source: RNAcentral
AUCCCCCAUAGGCCUGAGGUACUGGAAGGUCCUCAGGCCGAAAGGGGCUCUGCCCGCCCGAGGAUGGGCCGGCGGCCGAUUAGGUAGUUGGUGGGGUAACGGCCCACCAAGCCGAAGAUCGGUACGGGCCAUGAGAGUGGGAGCCCGGAGAUGGACACUGAGACACGGGUCCAGGCCCUACGGGGCGCAGCAGGCGCGAAACCUCCGCAAUGCGGGCAACCGCGACGGGGGGACCCCCAGUGCCGUGGCAACGCCACGGCUUUUCCGGAGUGUAAAAAGCUCCGGGAAUAAGGGCUGGGCAAGGCCGGUGGCAGCCGCCGCGGUAAUACCGGCGGCCCGAGUGGUGGCCGCUAUUAUUGGGCCUAAAGCGUCCGUAGCCGGGCCCGUAAGUCCCUGGCGAAAUCCCACGGCUCAACCGUGGGGCUUGCUGGGGAUACUGCGGGCCUUGGGACCGGGAGAGGCCGGGGGUACCCCUGGGGUAGGGGUGAAAUCCUAUAAUCCCAGGGGGACCGCCAGUGGCGAAGGCGCCCGGCUGGAACGGGUCCGACGGUGAGGGACGAAGGCCAGGGGAGCGAACCGGAUUAGAUACCCGGGUAGUCCUGGCUGUAAAGGAUGCGGGCUAGGUGUCGGGCGAGCUUCGAGCUCGCCCGGU